This 253-nucleotide ribosomal RNA is filed under the name uncultured bacterium. RNAcentral describes it as "partial 16S ribosomal RNA". It matches the Rfam family "Bacterial small subunit ribosomal RNA", at positions 524 to 776 of the family's 1533-position model. The record is from RNAcentral.
UACAGAGGGGGCAAGCGUUGUUCGGAAUUACUGGGCGUAAAGGGCGCGUAGGCUGCGGGGUAAGUCGGGUGUGAAAUCUCAGAGCUCAACUCUGAAACUGCACUCGAUACUGCUCUGCUUGAGGACUGGAGAGGAGAUUGGAAUUCACGGUGUAGCAGUGAAAUGCGUAGAUAUCGUGAGGAAGACCAGUGGCGAAGGCGGAUCUCUGGACAGUUCCUGACGCUGAGGCGCGAAGGCCAGGGGAGCAAACGGG